RNAcentral lists this ribosomal RNA (253 nucleotides) under uncultured bacterium. Its description in RNAcentral is "partial 16S ribosomal RNA". It matches the Rfam family "Bacterial small subunit ribosomal RNA", at positions 524 to 776 of the family's 1533-position model. The record is from RNAcentral.
UACGGAGGGUGCGAGCGUUAUCCGGAAUUACUGGGUUUAAAGGGUGCGUAGGCGGUCAUGUAAGUCAGGAGUGAAAGUUUGCGGCUCAACCGUAAAAUUGCUUUUGAUACUGCAUGGCUGGAAUUAGGAUGAGGUCAGCGGAAUGUGGCAUGUAGCGGUGAAAUGCAUAGAUAUGCCAUAGAACACCAAUUGCGAAGGCAGCUGGCUAGACCUGGAUUGACGCUGAGGCACGAAAGCGUGGGGAGCGAACAGG